Phrynosoma platyrhinos (Desert horned lizard) is the source of this 72-nucleotide non-coding RNA. The record is from the annotation of a GenBank genome assembly. Lineage: Eukaryota; Metazoa; Chordata; Lepidosauria; Squamata; Phrynosomatidae.
GGCAGAAUGGCAUAGUGGUUUGAGCCUUGGACUAUGACUCUGGAGGCCAGGGUUCAAAUCUUGACUGGGCCA